UUCUUCCUCCUUCUUCCAGGUGUGUUCUCUCAGGUGGUGCUGACACAGUCAGAUCCGGUGUUGAAAAAACCUGGAGAAUCCCAUAAGAUGACCUGUGCCACCAGUGGAUUCACUCUUAGCAGCACUACAAUGCAGUGGGUCAGGCAAAAACCAGGCAAAGGAUUGGAAUGGCUUGUUGAGUAUUAUAGUGCUGGGAGCAACUACUACUCCCCUUCAAUCCAGGGGCGAUUCACAGCCUCUAAGGACAGCACCAACCUCUACCUGCAAAUGAACAACCUCAAAGGAGAAGACAGUGCAGUCUAUUACUGUGCAAGGCACACAUUUACAAUUAAAAAUAAAAGAAAAAACAUGGAAUUCGUGGUGGGGGAGGGGGGAUUGGGUGAGGGGGAGAGGAUCGGUAUAUUCCAUUGGAUCUUCGGUUCAAUGAGUCUAGUCUCUUUGUGGAGCAAGUUGCUGGAUGUAGAGGAGUAGUUGUUUUAUUUUAUUAGGGGGCAGAUUGUGCCCCCCUUUUAUGUUGCCUGGGUUGGCUAUUUCUUAUUUCAGUUAUGGAGUUCCUUCAAUCUGUGUCUGUCCUUUUCUUAUAUAUUCCUGUUUCUUUGAUUGGUUUUCCAUUAUGCUUCUUCAUCAGGAAAGUCAGUCUGUCCAUGUUCUUUAUUUCCCAUAUCUUUGAUUACCAUUUUUUAAAUGUUCCCUAACUGGCUGCUCUCCUCAUCGCCACCAUCCUGAUUUACCUUGAUUCAGACCGCUC
Molecule: non-coding RNA, 748 nt
Organism: Anolis carolinensis (green anole)
Lineage: Eukaryota; Metazoa; Chordata; Lepidosauria; Squamata; Anolidae
Source: the annotation of a RefSeq genome assembly